Panicum hallii is the source of this 584-nucleotide long non-coding RNA. RefSeq lists it as uncharacterized. The transcript has 5 exons. The record is from RefSeq and is a predicted model, not a curated record. NCBI's taxonomy places the organism in Eukaryota, Viridiplantae, Streptophyta, Magnoliopsida, Poales, Poaceae.
GAUCUAAAGGAUGGCAGCAUCGAGUGGGCUUCAUGAAUCCCAUGGUUACCGACGAGGAAAAUAUACGAACAAGAUAUCAGGAAACGUGUGUUAAAAUGUUCAAUGCCCUAGAUAAGCAACACUACAAAUCCUAUAUACUCCUACCCUACAACUUCGACUUUCAUUGGAUUUUGCUCGUAAUUUCUGUGGAGUGUAGCAAACUUAUAGUGUUCAACUUGAAGAGGAGACCAUAGUCGGACAUCCAACACAUCAUAGACCCAUUGAACAGGUGUCAAAAAAAUUUGUGAAAAAGUAAAGAGGCCAAGGUGAAUGUAAGGAUCAACUGAAUGUUAGAAUGAACUUUUCGUGUUCGAGACAAGAAAAAGGAAAUAAUUGGUGUGGGUACUAUGUAUGUGAUUUCAUGCACACCCUAACCCAUUUCAAGAAGUGUACAGUGGAGGACCUAAGAAUGAUGCAAAUAAAGGAUGAAGUUCUACAUGUGGAUAGGAUUGAUGCCGUGUCGGAGCAGCUCAUCAUUAUAAGGGAGAUCCUGGAUCCUAAAGGCGAGUUCUACCACGACGGCCGUAUUAAUAGAGUAGCAUCUG